CAGUCGCCGCGGUAAUACGAACCGUGCGAACGUUAUUCGGAAUUACUGGGCUUAAAGCGCGUGUAGGCGGGCCGCCACGUCGGUUGCUGAAAUCCCCCGGCUCAACCGGGGAAGUGGCAUCGAUACGAGCGGCCUUGAGGGGGGUAGGGGGAUCUGGAACUUCCGGUCGAGCGGUGAAAUGCGUUGAGAUCGGAAGGAACGCCCGUGGCGAAAGCGAGGUCCUGGACCCUUUCUGACGCUGAGACGCGAAAGCCAGGGGAGCGAACGGGAUUAGAUACCCGCGUAGUCCCUGUCUCUUAUA
Molecule: ribosomal RNA, 301 nt
Filed under: uncultured bacterium
Lineage: Bacteria
Description: partial 16S ribosomal RNA
Rfam family: Bacterial small subunit ribosomal RNA
Source: RNAcentral